GGGGGAUCAGCACCCGGCACUGGGCGGCUCCCCUCGGAGCCAACAGGAAACAGCGUACAUUGCUGGUCUGACGGGUGAGAUUGGCAGGAGUGCCAGAGCUGCUGGGGGCAGAGUCGGGGGUGAGGACAGAGGGCCUGGGUGCAGGGUGUCGCGGUCCUCUCUCCCCCUGCUCUGCCCUCAAGCCGCAGGCAUCCGCCUGACUCGCCCUUGAGCGGCCUGGCUUCCAGCUGCUGCUCACUGGCCCUCCCCUGGGGCUGAGGAGAACCUCGAGAGCAGCAACACUGGAGGACAGGGAGGGGGUGCAGGCGACAUGAGGAAAGCCGCAAGGAUUGGGAAGAGAGCACCCAACUCCUCUGAGAGCAUUUGGCCUACACCUGAGGGUGGACCAGGAGACACCAGGUUCCUACUCAGUGGGAUGGCAAGAACAUCAUCCAGGCCAAAGCUCCCUCCCAGGGCCUUGUGAGGACAACGCAACAGGUCAGCUGUCAAGUGACCCACCAGAGGAGAAGCGCUGGCUGUGAAUAUCGGAGCAGCCCCUGGGCCUCUCUCCCCCAGGGUUCCAGGGCCGCUUGCUCUGCCAGCUACAGAGGCAUCCUCGUUUCUGUUUUCUG
RNAcentral lists this long non-coding RNA (611 nucleotides) under Homo sapiens (human). RNAcentral describes it as "HSALNT0245946". Lineage: Eukaryota; Metazoa; Chordata; Mammalia; Primates; Hominidae. The record is from RNAcentral.